This 2127-nucleotide long non-coding RNA is filed under the name Heterocephalus glaber (naked mole-rat). RNAcentral's name for it is "lncRNA (ENSHGLG00100033284.1)". The record is from RNAcentral. Lineage: Eukaryota; Metazoa; Chordata; Mammalia; Rodentia; Bathyergidae.
GCCCCGUUUGUCUUAGCUAGACUAUUUAAAACAGAUAGCGCUCACACCCUUAAUCCUAUACCCUUAGGCCUAACAUUAUACCACCAAUCAAUUUUGGCAUCACACUCUCUAGAAGUAGGUAAGUAGAGAAACAGAGAAGUUCAAGUUCUCAUAAUGAACAGCAAAGUUCUUUAGCAAACAGCAGAACCUGAGUACAGCAAUCUGACUCCAGAACCUCAGUUCCUAACUGUUCCACCAUGCUGGCUUCUAUGGGUACGCAUUAGAUUGUUCCUUCCGUGAUCUCACUCGGGGGUGAGCUAUUCAGUCGGAGAAAUAGAGCUCCGGGGACAGCAACCUGAAAUCAAUCAAAAGCAUUGUGAGAACAAGAGAUUUCGAAGCAACCGGCCAGGUCUCCAGGAAGUCACUCAGGCAGGAGCUGGGGAACUGUACAAAAUGGCGACAGGGGUGGAGCAAGAGGAUCUGUGAAGGACGUGAAGCUUUGACCAGGCUGUGCGGCAGGCUGUAUUAUGAUUGGCUGGAGGCACUGUUCUGCUGCCUUCUCUGUGUCCUGUGACAUCACUUACGUGUCUCACCGUUAGCAGACUCUCAACCCCCAGGUAAGUAGAGCUGCUGGUUGGCCAUAGCCUAGCCUCAGGAGGGGUAGCUCUGAGGAGCAGCCCAUGACGAAUUCCACUAAGGCGGAGAAAAAUUCGAACAGUAACUUGGUGGCACUGGAGGCCCUCGGCAGCUGGUGAAAUAUCUGAGCCUUUCUUUCUGUCUAGAUCCAGGAACAGGAGGGCCACACCCAACAGCUAUAAAGGCAGGAAGCAUCCACAAGACUGAAGCACAAAAACAUGAAAACCAAGUGUGUGUGCACAACGUUCCAACUAACCGUCAUGCAGAAGUCUGUUUCACACACAUCAGAUGGUUUGUUGCAAAAGAACCUAUCCUACAAGCGGGAGCAGUUGCACUGCUAAGCGUUUCACUGGAGCAGAAUCAAAGGUGGAAACGACUAACCUCCUGAGGUCUGCAGCUGCGGAACGGAACAGUCCAUGACCCCAUCCCCACCCCACCCCAGGGCUCUGUGUGGUCAAUCCCAUCCUUUCCCUCCCUCCAAUGCUUGUUUCAGUAUUAAUCUCCCAGAAAGCAAAACUGAAACUUUGUUCUGCUCCCAGUAUGAUUAAGCAUAUCACAUGCUACAGGAAGCAACAGAAUCAAGCAAUAAAAUAAAGCUUUCUUAGAAGAACUCAAAAAUAAUAGGGCCAUCCUGACUGAGUCUGUCUCCAAAAGCAUAAAUCCUAGAAAUUCCCAGUGAACCUGGACACCAAACAAUGUCUUCCCUGUCUUUUGAUUUUAGGUUGGUGUUUUUCUUCUCUUUGAGACAGGGUCUUGCUAAGUUGCCCAGGCUGGCCUUGAACUUUCCACCCUCCUGCCUGAGCUUCCUGAUAGCUGGGAUUGCAGUUCUUUUUUUUUUGUAUGGGGGAUGGAACUUUGGACCUUGUGCUUUCGAGGCAGGCAGCAGCACCACUGAGCUAAAUCCCCGGCCCAUUCAGUUCCAAACUGCUACAGUUCUAAACUGCUACCCUGAUUCCUGAUUUUUGAUAUCCUGAUGUCUGAAUAGUGAAUGAUCUUUGUAAAUAUGACAGCUGUCUUAGUUACUUUUCUUGUUGCUGAGACAAAAUACUCGACACCCAAAAUUAAAGGAGGAAAGGUUUACUUAGCUCACAGUUUGUAGAGGUUUCAGUUCAUAAGCAGCAGAUUCCAAGGCAGGGUAGCAUGGCAGAGGAGAAACAGUUCAUGGUGGGCAGAAGGCAGCAAAGCAAGCAAGAGAGGACACCACUCUUUCUGUCCCUUAUAUCUUAUCCAGGCUACUUAGGGUGGGUAGCACACACCCCCUUAAUCCUAGCGCCCUGGAGCCUAGCAUUGUGCCAUGAAUCAAUCCCAGCAUCACACACUCUAGAUCCAACCACCUCUGAAAAAUUCCCACCUAUGAUCACCUGAGGCAUAGAGGACAUAUAGACAUGAGCCAUAUAACGGCCAUGCCACAAAGUUGCUUUUCCCCCUCUAACAUUGUGAACCAGAUAUGAAAUUGAUCCCCUCAGAAAUUUUGCCUUUCUUGUCCUUUAAAUAUUUGUGUUUUGAAUUCGG